Molecule: unclassified non-coding RNA, 370 nt
Filed under: soil metagenome
Description: partial contains 5.8S ribosomal RNA, internal transcribed spacer 2, and large subunit ribosomal RNA
Rfam family: 5.8S ribosomal RNA (bases 1-120)
Source: RNAcentral
GAUGAAGAACGUAGCGAAAUGCGAUAAGUAAUGUGAAUUGCAGAAUUCAGUGAAUCAUCGAAUCUUUGAACGCACAUUGCGCCCCCUGGAAUUCCGGGGGGCAUGCCUGUUCGAGCGUCUCAGGGACGAACCCUCGCGCGGGUGUACGCGCGGUCGUGGCUGCGGUGGCGUGCCCGAGGCGGCGGCCACCGCGCUGGAAUCCAUGGGCGGACGCCUGCCGCGUGGCCGAGCGUGAUAUGACGCAUUGGCGCUCGCACGCGGCGAGGCUGCCAGCCCUGGCCCGUCUGUCGGGCGGGGGAGAGCAAGACACGUGAACUCCUCGAAUCAGGUAGGGAUACCCGCUGAACUUAAGCAUAUCAAUAAGCGGGGA